Salmo salar (Atlantic salmon) is the source of this 73-nucleotide non-coding RNA. Lineage: Eukaryota; Metazoa; Chordata; Actinopteri; Salmoniformes; Salmonidae. The record is from Rfam.
UCCUCGUUGGCGCACCAGGCAGCGCGUCAGUCUCAUAAUCUGAAUGUCGUGAGUUCGAUCCUCACACGGGGCA